RNAcentral lists this non-coding RNA (58 nucleotides) under unclassified sequences. Its description in RNAcentral is "terC RNA". It matches the Rfam family "terC RNA". The record is from RNAcentral.
CAUUCGAGCCGGGCCCCUCUCGCACGCAAGGCGUUGCCUGCGAUGUCGGUUCGCAAUG